RNAcentral lists this long non-coding RNA (220 nucleotides) under Trifolium pratense (red clover). Its description in RNAcentral is "long non-coding RNA (TPRA_LNC005227)". Lineage: Eukaryota; Viridiplantae; Streptophyta; Magnoliopsida; Fabales; Fabaceae. The record is from RNAcentral.
GUGAUCUCAUUUUUUGAAAAUUAUGUCUCAAACAGCGUAUUUGCUUACUACGUUCUAUGCAAUUUAAGGUUUCAAAUAGCUUAUCUACUUACUCAUCUCUCGUUCUCUUGGAGUUUAUUCUUACUUAUUCACUUGCUGAAAUUUUAUUCCAACUUUAUUAGUCCCAAUUUUUUAGUCUAUCGUUUGGUUCACUUUUUUUUUGCUUGGUCCUUUUGUUUUU